RNAcentral lists this ribosomal RNA (539 nucleotides) under Cryptococcus sp. O382A. RNAcentral's name for it is "eukaryotic LSU rRNA". It matches the Rfam family "Eukaryotic large subunit ribosomal RNA", at positions 126 to 654 of the family's 3401-position model. Lineage: Eukaryota; Fungi; Basidiomycota; Tremellomycetes; Tremellales; Cryptococcaceae. The record is from RNAcentral.
GGGUCCUGGUCCCAGAGUUGUAAUCUAUAGAGGUGUUUUCCGUGCUGGCUCAUGUACAAGUCCCUUGGAACAGGGCGUCAUAGAGGGUGAGAAUCCCGUCCUUGACAUGAACUACCAGUGCUCUGUGAUACACUUUCAACGAGUCGAGUUGUUUGGGAAUGCAGCUCAAAAUGGGUGGUAAAUUCCAUCUAAAGCUAAAUAUUGGCGAGAGACCGAUAGCGAACAAGUACCGUGAGGGAAAGAUGAAAAGCACUUUGGAAAGAGAGUUAAACAGUAUGUGAAAUUGUUGAAAGGGAAACGAUUGAAGUCAGUCGUGCUCUUUGGACUCAGCCGGUUCUGCCGGUGUACUUCCAUUGAGUGGGGUCAACAUCAGUUUUGACUGCUGGAUAAAGGCUGGAGGAAUGUAGCACCCCCGGGUGAACUUAUAGCCUCCUGUCACAUACAGUGGUUGGGACUGAGGAAUGCAGCACGCCUUUUGGCCGGGGUUCGCCCACGUACGUGCUUAGGAUGUUGACAUAAUGGCUUUAAACGACCCGUCU